RNAcentral lists this long non-coding RNA (3302 nucleotides) under Daphnia magna. Its description in RNAcentral is "uncharacterized LOC116932239, transcript variant X1". Lineage: Eukaryota; Metazoa; Arthropoda; Branchiopoda; Diplostraca; Daphniidae. The record is from RNAcentral.
CCUUCCUUUCGAAAACUCAAAUCCAAAUCUUUUCGAUUUCUUAAGGGUAAAAAAAAAAAAAAAAAGAAAAGAAAAAGGUCUUCAAAAAAAAUGUCAGUUCUAAAAAGAGGGAAAAAAAUAGAAUAAAACAGGUUCUUUUAGUUAGUUUUUCCUAGUACCCUGUAAAAACCUUCUCUUCCUCCUGGGCUUGUUGUUGACCCGAAAAAUUUACCUAGCCCAAAAUUUUUUCAAUUUUAGUGGAAGUUGAAUGACCCAUUCCGGAUAUAUGUGUACGGAUAAGAGUGUACGAUAUGUUCAAGUAAAAAAAAAAAAAAAAAAACGCAUUAUAAUAAAAUAAAUAGGUUGAAUCCGGGUCAAAAUAGGUCAUGAUUUUUUGUGCGGCUGGUCAGUUGCACACGUCCGCCAGUGAAAGUGGUCCGUCCUUGACGCUGUCUCGAAACACCAUGCAGGUGUAAAGGUGUUCAGAGAGUUCUCUCAACAGCUCUCUACAGCUCUCUCCGGCCGCAGACGAAGCUUCUCUCUUACGGCCAUUUCAUUUUCAAGGACUUUUUUUAGGUCUCUCUGUGCACGUCAAACAUAUCCGGCCCGUAAAUUAUCUCAUUCAACCAGAGAAAGUCUGUCACACAACAGCUGCAAAUACUUCUAACUAAUCAGCCAAAAAUUUUGAAUGAAAUCUUCUUCGAUAUUACAAUUAGUCUUAAAGAGGAAGAGAAAAAAAAAAAAGGAUCCAAGGCCAGGGCUACUAUGCAAUAGACAAAUGCAAGAUGACCUCUGGACGAGCCGGAAGCGUCACUGGGAUCCUUUUAUAGACACAAAAGCUCCUCGGGGAAAAAUCUGUAAGAGCUGGUACGAAAUAUUUAAUGGCGGGGUACAAACAAAAAAAUUCCCCUGGCAGGAAGCGGCUCGACGCAGCAGACGUACUUCUUGACUAAUCAUCAAACGUGAUUCUCUGAUCCUGGGUUUGAAAAAAAGAAAGAAAGAAAACAAGUCUACACCCCAUCAUGGCGGAAGAAGGAAGCUGGCAACUUGACAAAAGAGGGCGAUUGGACGAAACGAGCGAGCCACGUGAUCUACACGAGUAUCGAUUAUUAUUAGAAGCCUACAGAAAGUGAAAAUCUGCGAGGAUACACACAGACAAAGGAUUCCCCCCUAAAAAAAAAAUCAUGUGGUUGGGAGGCGAAUUUCGCUGAACAAAGUGAAAACGCUUUCAAAGAAUAAAGCAAACAACUCUCUCGAAUCUUUUCCCUUCUUUUCGUGUAUGUAUAGUGUAUGCCUAAAAGUGGAGAGAAGUUUCGAUUAUUAGGCACAGACUAGCUGAUGCUAGCUUCAAGGCAUUAACACCCCCUUUGCCCGAAAGGAACAGAAAAAUGCAUGAACAUACAAGACGGCAUUUUUCCCCCCAUUUUCUUGCCAACAGCAAUUUUCUCGCCAUCUGUCGGACGCAGACUGAAAUACAUCUUGCCAUCGCCAAUUCAUGUCUGAUAGCCAAGAAACACGAUGUGCAAUAUAUCAGGUAAAAGAGAGCACGUUUUUUGUUUUAUUUUUUGUUAGUAGGGGAAGGAGAAGGAAUGAUUACUCAUCCAACGAUGUCAUCAUCACGUCUUUCGUCUAACCCUACAUUAACGAUUCCAUCGCCAUAAUGUGUUACACGCACGGAUAGUAUAGGCUACCUGCGGGAAGAGACUGCCUUUUUGACCCCAUUCAUCAGUACACUAAAAAAACAAAAUAAGGAUGUAUUUUUCCGUUUGCUGUUGGUUGCAGACGUUGACCUGCAACCUAUUUACGCUGUCGAGUCCAAAGUUUCUUCCAGGUGGAAUGUUAAAAAGGUUUUAUGUGUUUUGUUGAUUUUGCUCAUCGUUUUUCAGCACGAAAUGACUUGGCGCUGUUCUACUAACUUCUUUCAGUCUUUGAUUUCUGGGUCGUUUGAAAUGCAACAGGUCAACAGGUCACAGUGAAAGUACCUCUUUUAUAAUAUCUCCAAAAGAUUUUCAUUCACGAACACUUUUCCGAGACCAUGGAACAGGUUCGGUUGAACUGGAAACACCAGCUUUCUUCUCACGAAUUUCGACAAGACCGUGUCGCUUAUUUGCAUGAUACUUUCACCUCAUAGUGAAACCCACUAUUCCACUAUACAGUUUUUUUUUAUCGUGUUUGCAAAAAGUCAAAUAUCUGUCGGUUGGACAAUUCUAUACGAACAGGAUUUUUCAUUUUGUUUACACUUUUGAUUGACGUUUUUGUCCUCCUCCCAUUAUUAAUUUUUUGAAUUUAGACAUUGCACUUUUCAAACGGCAAUACACCGUUGUUGAAUUUUGUUGGACACGCCACGACGGACCAUUUUGGCUAGCCUUCUAUAACGAUGCCGUUCUGGAAGCAGAACUGGUUGGAUGGCGCCGUCAAACUGCAUGACCGACCACCACCACGUAAACUCUCUGUGUCAUAACUGGCUAUAUCAAGUUAGUGAGUAUGCGAUAAAAACACUUAAUGCUUUCUAUAAUCUUAUCGUGUUGCUUAUAUCCUUGUGAUAAUUCAUACCGACAUAUGGUCUCUGGCUGUUGUGUAGAAAUUGUUUCAAUAGCUUGGUAGACGCGGCCAUACCAUUUAUUUCGUUGCUUCAUGUUCAGCUUGAAUUUAUCUUGAUUUACUUCAUUGCAACAUAACCUUAUGCAACCUUGCCGACAGUUACUCGCUCUAAUUCGAUCAGCGAUGACUAAACACUGAAAAAAAGUCGAAAGUUCCAGCUAUGUACUUACAUUCUAAACAUUUUAAACGUCUUUUGGGCUACUUUUGAAAUGUAUCCAUUAUUUGACACGGAUAUGCUAGGCUACUACGGAUGUACUUGAUGGCUAUAACACUUAACAACACUUACGUUAUAUGCCUCUUUAAUAUGAAGGGACAGAUCAUGUAGGACGCAAUUAAGACGGGUAGCACAGUACACAGCAGUGAAAGAAGUGAAUAGCGGAUUAGACCACAUGACUGAACAAGUAGGCUGGUCUAUUGGUUACAAUGUGCGGCUUCGAUCUUUGAAACGUUUGCAGCAAGAGUUGGCAGCAAAAAUAAGAUGAAAAGUAGAAACUAUUUGUUGAAGUGGCGGACGAUGCACAUUUCACGUUCAAAUCCAGUCCAUCUCGGUGCCAAAAGUCACACCCAACGAUCACGAAGGCAAAAAUCAAAGAACAAACAACUCAACAAGAUACUUUCAGAUAAUUCACUCUCACAUCCUGCCUUCUGUUCUUAGUCGGGGUUUUAAAAAAACUCUAAUUUCCGUUUUAUGACAUAUACAAUAAAGAUGUAUAACACGAUUA